RNAcentral lists this long non-coding RNA (699 nucleotides) under Lathyrus oleraceus (garden pea). RNAcentral's name for it is "Pisum sativum (pea) long non-coding RNA (PSAT_LNC035025)". Lineage: Eukaryota; Viridiplantae; Streptophyta; Magnoliopsida; Fabales; Fabaceae. The record is from RNAcentral.
UAAAAAAGAAAAAUAUUUAUUGAAACAAAUAUACUGAACAUUGUAUUUUUACAAUAUACAUUGAUUAUCUGUAGCAAAUUAGGUGAUAAAAUAUGGCUUGGAAUAUUAAGUUUGUUUAUUUACUGAUCCAUUUUAUUUCCCUAUUUCUUGUUCUAUCUCACGUUAGAGGUAAACUAUUUUGGUAUCCUUUUGAACCUUUUGUUUAUCUUAUACAAAAUCUUUCACAAUGUUUAUAGUAUUUGUUUUCUUUUUUAUAUCACAGCAUGGCAACCGUGGCCACCAGAUUGCAACAAGGAUUCGGAUUGUCCAACCAUUUUCUGUCUAUCUCCUUGGGUUGCAAAAUGCGUUUAUUAUAAAUGUAAUUGUUUUUCAUAAGAUAUCAGCUUAAUUGAAAGAAGAAGAAAAAAUAAUUUAUGGGGGGAAUUGUAAAAGUUGUAUUAGAGUUACACUUAUUAAUAAAAAUUUCAAUAUUUUUAAUAUAUUUUUUCAUAAAUAAGAGUCUAUGGUUGACGAUUUUAGAAAGAGACGGGAAGUUAAAAAGAUCAAGGCUAGCGGGUCAAACACUACUAUGUACUACCUCAGUUUUUUAUUAUAAGUCGCUUUGGGAGAAUAUUUUGUACCACAAUAUAUGUCGUUUUAUAAUAUCAAUGAAUCAUUAAUGUUAUUUUUCCUAUUAUACCCUUAAAUAUUUAUUAUUUU